Molecule: long non-coding RNA, 1514 nt
Filed under: Phascolarctos cinereus (koala)
Lineage: Eukaryota; Metazoa; Chordata; Mammalia; Diprotodontia; Phascolarctidae
Description: lncRNA (ENSPCIG00000034122.1)
Source: RNAcentral
GUGGGAGUGGGGGAGAUUGGGCUAGGAGGACAGAUGAUUUCAAUUUAAGUUCAGCAUUUGGGGAGAAUAUUGUUCCACUUGCUCAUUUUUCUUAGUUUCCCCUCCCCCUUACCCCCAACCUUUAUUUGGGCCAGUGGUGGACAGGAGAGAUCUGUUCCCAUGGCAACCCCUCGGAGAGUGCGUGGUAAGUAGUGUGGGCAGGGCCGACUGGGCUUUCUUUCAUCAGGGUAGUCCAGGAGGUAGGUUCUCACUCUGCUGGGCCAGGAAAAGGAAGUCUGGAGAGGAUGGCGGUCCUUGGGGACAGAAGCUGCUCCUAAUCCCCACCCUCUCAUCACCUGGCAGAAACAAGAUACUACAUCUUGGCAAGAGUGGGAAGAUAAAAGUCUCUAGCCUGGUUUGGGUUCACCCAGGGAAAUUCUGUGUUUCAGCAGACCUGCUUGGCAUGGGAGUUGGGCCGCCUAUAGAAACAAGAAGACACAUCUGCAUUCCCUCCUUCCUCUACACUUUAUUCUGACUGCACUUGUCCCAACUUCUGUUCUUUUCUCAUACUUGCACAUUACAUGUACCUGUGAGGGGAGCCAAUGGACAGAGGAAAACUAACUGCUGCAGGGCAUAGAGGGGUAUAAGACGGAGGACCGGGAACAGCGGAAAAGAGAGAUGGCUGCUGGGAAGGAUGAUAAGAGACAGAAAAGAGUAAAUGCAGUCUUGGGUAGCUAGAGGAACAGUUGUUCUUCAUCCUUUUCUGACCUUGGGUGCAUUCAGUCAAUAUGUACCCAAUUUAAUAGGAAAGCAAAGUUGAGCUGAGGUGGCCAGGAAGAUUUCUGUCAUUGUUCUUCUAAUUAUUUGACUGUACCUCUGAAGGUGGUCUUCAAAAAUGCUGAAGUGCGGGGGGCACAGCCAAGUUGGCGUAGUGAAAGCAGUGACUUACUUGAGCUCUCCUCCAAACCCCUCCAAAUACUCAUAAAAAAUGGCUCUAAACAAAUUCUGAAGCAGCAGAACCCACAAAAAGACAGAGUGAAACAAAUUUCCAGCCCAGACAACCUGGAUGAUUGAUCAGAAAGGUGUAUCACUCUGGGCUGGGAGCGGAGCACAGCGCACCACGGCAUCUGUGCACAGGCCACAGCGAACCUGGAGCAGGCCUCAGAGGACUGAAUCUCGGGCAGCUGUGGAGGUUUCCAGACUCCUCAAUCCACUAAUGCCAAAGACAACUUAGAAGGUCAGUGAGAAAAGUCUUUUUCUGUCAGUGCUUAGAAAAGAAGGCGGGUUUCCCGCUCCAUUCCCCCAGAGGGUGGCCCUGGGGGGAGCUGCUUCCCAAGCUUCCAGCCCACAGACUAAGGGGGAAACCAGUGGCUGAUCAGAGAGGGAUCGCAGGGAUCUCUUUGCCAGUGCUGAGACAGGAAUCUCUUGCUUUGCCCGUGUUUGGAUCUGGGCCACAGUUCUGGGCGGCAGUGCUGGGGUGAGGAGGAGUGCUGGUGUGGUGGAGCUUGUAGUGGCUGUGGAGAAGAAACCCUCUU